AAUAGAAAAACCUGCAUGGUUUACGACUGUAUAAUUUCCUAGCAUUUAAUUCUAAAUGCAUAAAAAAGAUUGCUUUCUAGGAUGGAGGAAAGAAGAAUAUACUUAAUUAGGGGUGAGCAAUGAGUUAGUUAGGUUCAAUUCCGAACUAAGCCAAACCGCAAUAACUAAACAUGUGAAGAAGAGAAUUACAUGAACCAAGCUACUACAUAAGAAAACUAAAUGGAACUGAACAGAAAUUUUUGGUUUGGUUGAUUGGUUAUAAGGAUCCAGAAUUAUAGAAUGCAAAAUUUUCAUAUCAAGUCCCCAAUUGCAAACAACCCAACAUGAAUUCACAUUAAAAUCCUCCAUUGAAAACAACAGUGCCACAAAGGAUCACCAUUUUCACUUAAAUUUUCAAUUAUUUAUAAAUAAAAAAAAAUAGCCUCCAUUGAAUUAAAUUAACCAAUAACGAGGGGAAAAAAUAUAUUUCACCUCAUUGUUUCACAGCCACCUCACAAAUCAGAAAUUAAAUCAAUCCAAAUAUAACUCAUUUUUAAUCUCACUGUCGAGCACAAUACCAUUAUCAAGUUCUUUGUGAUUAUGAACAUGCAUACCAUUGCAAGGUUGAGACUGCUUUUGUUUCUCUUGAAUCCUUUGAGUUUUGGAUCCAAUGAAUCCUUCAAAUUUUGUUUCACUUGAAUCCUUCGAGUUUUGGAUCAUCGAAGCAGCAGUGGUUUGUGGAUAGUAUGAUUCUGUGCCGGCAUAGAAUCUGCUACCGAUGGCGUUGCUGUCGGCUGGAGAGGAGUUUGAGUUGAUUUAAGGAAGGAGAUUGAAGAGAGGAAGAGAAAGAUAAAGUGAAUUGAGAAAAGGAGGGAGCUUAAGGUCUUGAGAGUCUAAAGAGGAUUAGAGGAAGUCGAAAAAACAAAGAGGCAGAGUGCAGCUAAAAGAAAAUUAGGGCUUCAAGCCUUCUAAAUGGUGUAGCUUUAUAUAUAUAGGUUCAGUUUGGUAUUUUACCUUAACAACCAAACCAAAAAAUUGAAUUCAAUUGGUUCAUUUUAGUUAAUUGGUUAUACCUGAUUAUUGCUCUCCCCUACACUUGACCAUAUGCAAUGGCAAUAUCUGCAGUGCUCCAAACGAUUGAAACCACAACUAUGCACAU
Molecule: unclassified non-coding RNA, 1138 nt
Filed under: Hevea brasiliensis (rubber tree)
Lineage: Eukaryota; Viridiplantae; Streptophyta; Magnoliopsida; Malpighiales; Euphorbiaceae
Source: RNAcentral